This 462-nucleotide ribosomal RNA is filed under the name uncultured bacterium. RNAcentral's name for it is "bacterial SSU rRNA". It matches the Rfam family "Bacterial small subunit ribosomal RNA", at positions 29 to 524 of the family's 1533-position model. The record is from RNAcentral.
AACGAACGCUGGCGGCAGGCCUAACACAUGCAAGUCGAACGCCGUAGCAAUACGGAGUGGCAGACGGGUGAGUAACGCGUGGGAACAUACCCCUCGGUUCGGAAUAACUUAGGGAAACUUGAGCUAAUACCGGAUACGUCCGAGGUUUUAACCGGCCUCGGAGAAAGAUUUAUCGCCGGAGGAUUGGCCCGCGUCUGAUUAGCUUGUUGGUGAGGUAAUGGCUCACCAAGGCGACGAUCAGUAGCUGGUCUGAGAGGAUGAUCAGCCACAUUGGGACUGAGACACGGCCCAAACUCCUACGGGAGGCAGCAGUGGGAAUAUUGGACAAUGGGCGAAAGCCUGAUCCAGCCAUGCCGCGUGAGUGAUGAAGGCCUUAGGGUUGUAAAGCUCUUUUACCCGGGAAGAUAAUGACGGUACCGGGAGAAUAAGCCCCGCUAACCUCGUGCCAGCAGCCGCGGUAAC